GACGAACGCUGGCGGCGUGCUUAACACAUGCAAGUCGAACGGAAAGGCCCUGCUUUUGUGGGGUGCUCGAGUGGCGAACGGGUGAGUAACACGUGAGUAACCUGUCCUUGACUUUGGGAUAACUUCAGGAAACUGGGGCUAAUACCGGAUAGGAGCUCCUGCUGCAUGGUGGGGGUUGGAAAGUUUCGGCGGUUGGGGAUGGACUCGCGGCUUAUCAGCUUGUUGGUGGGGUAGUGGCUUACCAAGGCUUUGACGGGUAGCCGGCCUGAGAGGGUGACCGGCCACAUUGGGACUGAGAUACGGCCCAGCCUCCUACGGGAGGCAGCAGUGGGGAAUAUUGCACAAUGGGCGGAAGCCUGAUGCAGCAACGCCGCGUGCGGGAUGACGGCCUUCGGGUUGUAAACCGCUUUCGCCUGUGACGAAGCGUGAGUGACGGUAAUGGGUAAAGAAGCACCGGCUAACUACGUG
This 468-nucleotide ribosomal RNA is filed under the name uncultured bacterium. RNAcentral's name for it is "partial 16S ribosomal RNA". It matches the Rfam family "Bacterial small subunit ribosomal RNA", at positions 28 to 507 of the family's 1533-position model. The record is from RNAcentral.